Cavia porcellus (domestic guinea pig) is the source of this 1570-nucleotide long non-coding RNA. RefSeq lists it as uncharacterized. The record is from RefSeq and is a predicted model, not a curated record. The transcript is spliced from 3 exons. Lineage: Eukaryota; Metazoa; Chordata; Mammalia; Rodentia; Caviidae.
GGCUCCCCAACCCCCGCAGCCCCGGGGAGCCGCACCCCGACUUUUCAAGCCUGGGGCCCGCCCGAUCCCCGGGACGCGAACAUCUCGAGCACGUGGGGCGGGGUGGGGGGAGCUGCCUGGGAACCGAGGCCGCAGGUGCCCGGGGGACCCUGGGGACCGCGGGUGGCAGCGCAAGGGCGCAUUCCAGGGAGCCGGCUCGGCGCCGCGCGCCCCGCCCGAGUUGGUGCGGUGAUGCAAGUUUGCUGUGGGCUCUGCACUUAGCGGAGUUGACGGAGGUGGCUCCGGACGCGGGGGCUCCCAGAGGAGGUGACACGAGGCUCCGCUCAACUGCUCCGCUGCCAGGGGACAGGCACCUGCCCCACGCCUUGUUGCAUUUUUGGAAAAGUAGGAUCGCAGGAAAGGUGGUCGGAGCCCCGCGAUGAUGGGCCAGCAGUAUCACAGGACGCUUCCCUCCAGGAGAUGUGGCCUUGUCCUGGAUCAAGGGAGGGGGCGCGAGGCAAUCUUCAGGAGCUCCAGAUGGGUGGGAGGGCAGGUUGAGGCCAGGUACUGCCCCUGGGCAGGUGGCCCUGCAGGUGACAAGAACUAGGAGAAAGACUUCUGAGGGUCUCUCCCACCUCCUUGGCCUCAUGUCAGGAUCUGUGGGGGCAGCUGCAAGACUCAGAAUGACCAGGUGCCACAGCCGUGCACAGCUACACCCCCACUGAUCAGACCAUGGCCAAUACCUGCCUAGGUGGAUGCUAGGAAAAGGAGAGCCCACUUGGGGAGCUGAACUCUCCCCACACCAGAUCUCCACUGGGAAGGCCUAAAGUUCAUCGGUGGAAGCUAGAAAGUCUGUGCUAGCAGGAUGAAGGGUCUGUGCCAGCAGGGAUCUGCACUGGAACCAGGAAGUGAUGCUCAAAAUAAGGACCAGGGUCUCCAAAAAAGUACCACAGCCAGCCUCAGCAACAGAGAGGUUCUAAGCUUCUCCGAAAAUGAGGACAGCAGAAUACAGCCAGCAUGACAAGCUCCUUCAGGAGAUCCCACAGCAACAGAAGAACCAACAGCGCCUCUUCAUCCUCUCUAGGUCUCCUUUCUAUGUGGCUGACCUGACCAUCCUCAGGUGGGCCUCCAACACCCAGCAUCGCGCUGACCCAGUUCAGCUGGUGUUACACGGUGACCACCAGCUGUCAGUGCUCUCCACUAAGUGAAAGAGGCCGGGCUCACAAGGACAGGUACUGUAGGAUUCCACGGACAAGAGUUUCGUCAUUUCUGCUUGCUGAGGAGUCUGCGCUCUCUCUGCCACCCAUCCUGAGCUCCGAUGUCGCACAGGGGACCAACAACCACGCCCCUGCAGGAGGGGUCCUCACAGCGGCCAACAAUGCUUGCGGCUAAGGACAGACUCUGGUGGUGUCCAGCCUCUGUCCAACUCUGCAGAGGACAAGAAGUCACUUGAGAGCCCCGGUUCCCUAAAAUGUCCCCAGGAACUUCCGACCCGGCUUGGCGCUAUGUCUCCUAAGCCCACAGCUGCAAAACUGAUUCAUAAGGCUUGUUUUUCUUGGUGUGAUUUUUAAAGAACAAAGUGUAAAUCCGA